This 468-nucleotide ribosomal RNA is filed under the name uncultured bacterium. RNAcentral's name for it is "partial 16S ribosomal RNA". It matches the Rfam family "Bacterial small subunit ribosomal RNA", at positions 28 to 507 of the family's 1533-position model. The record is from RNAcentral.
GACGAACGCUGGCGGCGUGCUUAACACAUGCAAGUCGAACGGAAAGGCCCUGCUUUUGUGGGGUGCUCGAGUGGCGAACGGGUGAGUAACACGUGAGUAACCUGCCCUUGACUUUGGGAUAACUUCAGGAAACCGGGGCUAAUACCGGAUAGGAGCUCCUGCUGCAUGGUGGGGGUUGGAAAGGUUCGGCGGUUGGGGAUGGACUCGCGGCUUAUCAGCUUGUUGGUGGGGUAGUGGCUUACCAAGGCUUUGACGGGUAGCCGGCCUGAGAGGGUGACCGGCCACAUUGGGACUGAGAUACGGCCCAGACUCCUACGGGAGGCAGCAGUGGGGAAUAUUGCACAAUGGGCGGAAGCCUGAUGCAGCAACGCCGCGUGCGGGAUGACGGCCUUCGGGUUGUAAACCGCUUUCGCCUGUGACGAAGCGUGAGUGACGGUAAUGGGUAAAGAAGCACCGGCUAACUACGUG